This 2062-nucleotide long non-coding RNA is filed under the name Malus domestica (apple). RNAcentral's name for it is "long non-coding RNA (MDOM_LNC005837)". The record is from RNAcentral. Lineage: Eukaryota; Viridiplantae; Streptophyta; Magnoliopsida; Rosales; Rosaceae.
CUUUCUCCUUACAAAGCUGCGGCACUAGAGGGAUGUAUGUAUAUGAGGGAUGUAUGACACGAAAUUGUGAUGGAAGGUGGGUUAUUUCUGAGUGCUGCGGCACAAUAUAUUUAUAGGGAGAAUAUAAGGCACGGCAUAGUUAUGUAGGAGGGGAAUUAUGACUCCAAAUCAUGAAGGAAUAAGGACUUUUCAAUUUCAGAUUCCAGGGAAGAAAAGGAUUGGUUUUGCUUCAGGAAACAUCACUUCUAGAAGGGCUAGGUACGACACAUUUUUAGGGAUAAGGGAUAAGGCUUCUAGAACCAUGUUUUUAGGUGAUCUAAUAUGCAAUUGAUUCCCCCUUGCAGCUGGAAUUAAGGUAGGAUAAGAUUAGUAUAGGAUAAGAUAAGAUAAAGUUUGUUUGGAUAAGAUAAGGUUGGAUAAGGUUUUGGAUAAUGUUCAUUCUUUUUAGCUGAAUCCUUAUCUUCUUUGUCUUAAAUUUAUUUUCUUCAUCUUUUCAGCACAUUCCUAGCCUCUUGAACUUCAAAAACGUCCAUCCACCUUGCUCCAUGCAUAUGCUAUCCAUUCUUGGGCCAAAACUGCUCCAAAAUGCUCCAAAUUGCACUUUCUUGCCAACUUUGUCAUUUGGACAUAUAAAACACAUGAAAAUAGCUUAAAUCACUAUAAUAAACAGAAACUAGCUAUGAAAAUGCAAGAAAACAAGUUAACUAAAUUACAUAAAUAUGCUCAUAUCAGAUUCCCCCACGCUUAGCUUUGGCUAGUCCUCGAACAAAACAAAAUAAACAAAAUAUAACCUAGACCUUCCAAUGUUCGCCUCAGGGAUUUCCAAUGAAACAUGACAUGUUAAAAAUCACUACUCACAUAGAUUUUGGCCAUCCUUACCCUCGAGCACACACUUAAUCGUAGUCACCACUCACUAGUUCACAUUUGAUCAAUUAAAACAAUGGUUUAAAUGUAGUAACAUGCCUUAGAGAAUUCCCUCAAUUCCUCACCAGAGAUACUCUUUAUUUUCACAUAGAUUUUCUGACUACACUUCCUAUACUAGGUAUAUGUGAGAAGAUUGAUGUAAACAUGUAGACUAGCACUCACAUAUGUCAUAAUCAAAGAAGGAACUUUCUGGAAUUAUCAAUAUAACAUGUAUAUGAUCUCAGGAACGGAAUGCCACUACUUAGAAGCAAGAACCAGGGAUUCCAUAUGCUUAUACCAAUUUCAAACUCCACGUAUUGAAACACAUAACAACCAAGAUAAAAGUCAAAGGGUUGUAAUGGGACUAAGGAUAUUGGCUAACAAAGAAAGGUUAAGGAUAAACAAAGGUCCUUAAAGCAAUAGUAAGCAAAGUAAUGAAAUUGAUACUUAGAAUUCACUUUUGAGUGCAGCAACCAACUUUAACACAAAGGGGAAAUUCAAACAAUACUUAGGGCUAGAUUCAAACUUUUGGACCCUUUCUUCACCAAUACUUGUGAGUUCAUCCUCACUUAUUUCUCAACUCUUUUCCUUUCUUUUCUCAACUUUUUUUUCUUCUUUUUUUCUCUUUUUCACGUUUUUUUUUUCUUUCUUUCUUUUACCCGUGCCCUUCCUUUCUUUUGGCACACUAACCAUACAUAUUUCUCAUGAAAAACCUUUCCCUGACACUUGGUUUUCUGCAUAAUGUCGAUAAACAGGAAUUCCCUCUAAGUCAUGCUCCACUAUACUUUAAGAACAAGGGUAUGGAUAGUCCUAUUCUAGGCUAGGUAAGGAUAAUGUGGCUAAUAAAAAUAUAGGCUAAAUAAGGCUCAAAGGGGUUAAACCUACAAUACAUAUGCAAGGGAUUAAGGUUUUUUGGCUCUGGUGGUAACUAAACAACUUCAUCUUGUUAUAUGUUAUGCACUCAAUUUUAAGCUUUGAAUGAAACAGGCAUAAGUUCUAGUAUUUGGAAUUAUAAUGAUGAAAACGCAUUCUAAGUAGCAACCAAGCAAAGAAAUAAUGAGAUCAUGCAACGACUUUAGACAACAAGAAUGUUGGAAAUGUGCCCUAAAGCCAAUCAUAUGAUGAUACUUUACGGACAUUUCACAUGUUAAACUAAUCU